This 861-nucleotide long non-coding RNA is filed under the name Callithrix jacchus (white-tufted-ear marmoset). RNAcentral's name for it is "lncRNA (ENSCJAG00000086849.1)". The record is from RNAcentral. Lineage: Eukaryota; Metazoa; Chordata; Mammalia; Primates; Cebidae.
AUGUGGUGGAGGAAACUGAAACACAGAGAGAACACAAGUAGCAUGACCAACAUCAUGCAACUCAUGGCGGCAGAGCUCAUGUAUGCCAUCACCUCCUCCCCAUUUCAGACUGGCACCGGGUUUGUCCUUGACCACGCAAUGCACCUGCCAAACUGUUCCGAGUUCCCAGGGAUACACUGUGCCACAGUACGGCUUCUGCAGGAUACAGCAAUUAUUCUAAAUGCUGCUGGAUUAACUACUACAGUAUUGCAGCCUGACAAAAUGACACAUCUGUAUUAGAUCACUGGUAGGUCAUCAGACAAAAUCUUUCCUUCUUCUCCACCCCCCGGUCCUCAUCGCAGAAAAUAGGACUUGAGGAAUAUUUCUCAACCCAGUAAGAAAUAAUAGAAACUCUCAGCAACCUGUAUAACACAUGCAGAACUCCAGAUACUGGACCUGCUCGUAGACAUUUAUAUUAUUUGGUGAAUUACAAUACAAACACGUUCCUCUUAAAAGAUGCUGGGGAGCCCAAGGCGGGGGGAUCACGAGGUCAAGAGAUCGAGACCAUCCUGGUCAACAUGGUGAAACCCCAUCUCUACUAAAAAUACAAAAAAUUAGCUGGGCAUGAUGGUGCGUGCCUGUAAUCCCAACUACUCAGGAGGCUGAGGCAGGAGAAUUGCCUGAACCUGGGAGGCAGAGGUUGUGGUGAGCCGAGAUGGUGCCAUUGCACUCCAGCCUGGGAAACAAGAGCGAAACUCCGUCCCUGCCCACCCUCCCCCCUCCAAAAAAGAUGCUGGGAAGAAGAUGUUUUAAAGCCAAAGUAUUUUUUACAUAGACUCCUCAUGAAUUUGACUUAAAAGCCAACUCAGCCACAGAAAUCUG